CUUUUUAGGGAUGCGUACGAUUGGAAGGAGUAAAUGUCUAACACUAGCACAGUACUUAUCCGCUGCGCAUGUGAAAAAUUGUUUUGCCAAUUUAAACAGACAGACGGGGAACAUACAAUUAGACGCAAAACGCAAGUAGAUAGUCAAAAGAUGAAGAGUUCAUGUAAAAUGACUGAAACCAUGACUAUGUCAUAGCUAGUAUUUCAUAUACACUUUCACAAGCCUAUCAAAGGAAAAUUUUAUGUACACUUGUAACAGAAGAAGAGCUUUAAACAUCAUAUGGCCAACAAAAAAGCUGGGUGUAAAAAAAGACCAAGCCUAUAAAAAAGAAAAUUCUAUGUACAAUUGCAGAAGAAAAUGAGCUCUAAACAUGAUAUGCCCAACAAAAAAACUGGGCCAAAAAGAAAACAAAGAUGAUACAAGAAGAAAAAUGAUUAGUACAACAAUUGCCCGAGCAAGAAGGGUGCAGAUCGGCGCCAACCUGUGUCAAAACAUCCUAACACAUUACAUCAAAUAGCAAAUUUCUAGGAUAAUCUGUCACUCGACUUGCAGAAAAUUCAAGUCUGAAGUCACCAAAUGUUGGAUUAUUCAAGUCACACACAACUAAAACAAACAUGAAACAGAAAAUUGAAGUCUGAAGUCACCAAAUGUUGGAUUAUUCAAGUCACACACAACUAAAACAAACAUGAAAAAGAGGGUAAAAACUGAGACAUAACGUUCUAUUAGCAAUUCAAUCUUCACUAAGAGGUAAAGCCAUGUAAUAUAACAUGCUCUCUCAGACAGAGCUUCAAGGCAUUUUGAAGAUAUACCAUACUUC
RNAcentral lists this long non-coding RNA (817 nucleotides) under Nicotiana benthamiana. RNAcentral's name for it is "long non-coding RNA (NBEN_LNC037148)". Lineage: Eukaryota; Viridiplantae; Streptophyta; Magnoliopsida; Solanales; Solanaceae. The record is from RNAcentral.